Molecule: ribosomal RNA, 406 nt
Filed under: uncultured bacterium
Lineage: Bacteria
Description: partial 16S ribosomal RNA
Rfam family: Bacterial small subunit ribosomal RNA
Source: RNAcentral
AUUGAACGCUGGCGGCAGGCUUAACACAUGCAAGUCGAGCGAGCGGCGGACGGGUGAGUAAUGCCUGGGAAUCUGGCUUAUGGAGGGGGAUAACGACGGGAAACUGUAGCUAAUACCGCGUACCAUCGGAUGUGCCCAGCUGGGAGUAGGUAGUUGGUGGGGUAAUGGCGCACCUAGGCGACGAUCCCUAGCUGGUCUGAGAGGAUGACCAGCCACACCGGAACUGAGACACGGCCCGGACGCCUACGGGAGGCAGCAGUGGGGAAUAUUGCACAAUGGGGGCAACCCUGACACAGCCAUGCCGCGUGUGUGAAGAAGGCCUUCGGGUUGUAAAGUACUUUCAGUGAGGAGGCGUUAAUCACAGAAGAAGCACCGGCUAACUCCGUGCCAGCAGCCGCGGUAAUAC